Molecule: ribosomal RNA, 253 nt
Filed under: uncultured bacterium
Lineage: Bacteria
Description: partial 16S ribosomal RNA
Rfam family: Bacterial small subunit ribosomal RNA
Source: RNAcentral
UACGAAGGGGGCUAGCGUUGCUCGGAAUCACUGGGCGUAAAGCGCACGUAGGCGGAUCUUUAAGUCAGGGGUGAAAUCCCAAGGCUCAACCUUGGAACUGCCUUUGAUACUGGGGAUCUCGAGUCCGGAAGAGGUUGGUGGAACUGCGAGUGUAGAGGUGAAAUUCGUAGAUAUUCGCAAGAACACCAGUGGCGAAGGCGGCUCACUGGCCCGGUACUGACGCUGAGGCACGAAAGCGUGGGGAGCAAACAGG